RNAcentral lists this ribosomal RNA (253 nucleotides) under uncultured bacterium. Its description in RNAcentral is "partial 16S ribosomal RNA". It matches the Rfam family "Bacterial small subunit ribosomal RNA", at positions 524 to 776 of the family's 1533-position model. The record is from RNAcentral.
GACCGAGGGUGCAAACGUUGUUCGGAAUUACUGGGCGUAAAGCGCGUGUAGGCUGCUUCGCAAGUCGGAUGUGAAAGCCCUGGGCUCAACCCAGGAAGUGCAUUCGAAACUGCAGAGCUGGAGUCCUGGAGAGGAAGGCGGAAUUCUCGGUGUAGAGGUGAAAUUCGUAGAUAUCGAGAGGAACACCGGUGGCGAAGGCGGCCUUCUGGACAGUGACUGACGCUGAGACGCGAAAGCGUGGGGAGCAAACAGG